RNAcentral lists this ribosomal RNA (494 nucleotides) under uncultured Sphingomonas sp. RNAcentral's name for it is "bacterial SSU rRNA". It matches the Rfam family "Bacterial small subunit ribosomal RNA", at positions 887 to 1382 of the family's 1533-position model. The record is from RNAcentral. Lineage: Bacteria; Pseudomonadati; Pseudomonadota; Alphaproteobacteria; Sphingomonadales; Sphingomonadaceae.
GCCCGCUCAGAAACUCAAAGGAAUUGACGGGGGCCUGCACAAGCGGUGGAGCAUGUGGUUUAAUCGAAGCAACGCGCAGAACCUUACCAGCGUUUGACAUGGUAGGACGACUGGCAGAGAUGCCUUUCUUCCCUUCGGGGACCUACACACAGGUGCUGCAUGGCUGUCGUCAGCUCGUGUCGUGAGAUGUUGGGUUAAGUCCCGCAACGAGCGCAACCCUCGACUUUAGUUACCAUCAUUAAGUUGGGUACUUUAAAGUAACCGCCGGUGAUAAGCCGGAGGAAGGUGGGGAUGACGUCAAGUCCUCAUGGCCCUUACGCGCUGGGCUACACACGUGCUACAAUGGCAAGUACAGUGGGCAGCAAUCCCGCGAGGGUGAGCUAAUCUCCAAAACUUGUCUCAGUUCGGAUUGUUCUCUGCAACUCGAGAGCAUGAAGGCGGAAUCGCUAGUAAUCGCGGAUCAGCAUGCCGCGGUGAAUACGUUCCCAGGCCUU